RNAcentral lists this ribosomal RNA (500 nucleotides) under Lactobacillus gasseri. RNAcentral's name for it is "bacterial SSU rRNA". It matches the Rfam family "Bacterial small subunit ribosomal RNA", at positions 374 to 865 of the family's 1533-position model. The record is from RNAcentral. Lineage: Bacteria; Bacillati; Bacillota; Bacilli; Lactobacillales; Lactobacillaceae.
GACGCAAGUCUGAUGGAGCAACGCCGCGUGAGUGAAGAAGGGUUUCGGCUCGUAAAGCUCUGUUGGUAGUGAAGAAAGAUAGAGGUAGUAACUGGCCUUUAUUUGACGGUAAUUACUUAGAAAGUCACGGCUAACUACGUGCCAGCAGCCGCGGUAAUACGUAGGUGGCAAGCGUUGUCCGGAUUUAUUGGGCGUAAAGCGAGUGCAGGCGGUUCAAUAAGUCUGAUGUGAAAGCCUUCGGCUCAACCGGAGAAUUGCAUCAGAAACCGUUGAACUUGAGUGCAGAAGAGGAGAGUGGAACUCCAUGUGUAGCGGUGGAAUGCGUAGAUAUAUGGAAGAACACCAGUGGCGAAGGCGGCUCUCUGGUCUGCAACUGACGCUGAGGCUCGAAAGCAUGGGUAGCGAACAGGAUUAGAUACCCUGGUAGUCCAUGCCGUAAACGAUGAGUGCUAAGUGUUGGGAGGUUUCCGCCUCUCAGUGCUGCAGCUAACGCAUUAAGC